RNAcentral lists this long non-coding RNA (3476 nucleotides) under Prunus persica (peach). RNAcentral's name for it is "long non-coding RNA (PPER_LNC005095)". The record is from RNAcentral. Lineage: Eukaryota; Viridiplantae; Streptophyta; Magnoliopsida; Rosales; Rosaceae.
AAGAAUGUUAAAACGCACGUCCAUAUGCAACAUUAAUCACAUGCGUGUCAUUCAGAUAAGAAACUAUUGAUACAUGCAUCUAAAAAAUUACAAUUGCAAAAAAUAAUAAAAAUAAAAAGCUUCUUAAGUCGCGCAUGCCAAAGUCUUUUUCUUUUUUUUAAUCACGAGUGCUUUGCAUGACUUACAAAGUUUCUUUUUCUAUUUUUGUAAUUGUAUUUUUCUAGAUGGUCAUCUUCAAAAUUUUCUUUUAUUACGUGUAUUUUUCUUUUAUUAGAAGACACUGAUGAUGAGGAAACAUAAACAAAUGAAGGAGCUGAUCUUGUUGUUGCCAAAUCGCCUUCAGCUAUGUUUCGUGACAUCCCAUGACCUUGGUUAAUGUGACCUACACAACACAUCUGACUCUCUUUACCCCUCCCAGGGAGAAAGAAAAGGAAACUCGUCAAAGCAUCAAACCUAGUGUUGGAACCAACAGCUAUUGCCCCCCAGCAGAGUGUAAUUGCCCCCCGGUCCUAGAAAAAGGCGAUGAAAAUCGGCCAAAGCUAGGGUUCUGAAACUGCUAAACCGAGUCCUGGCUUUCUCAUUCGCUAUGACGGGUUUCAACUGUUUUCCCUGCAUCGUGUCCAUGUUGGUCGGCUUGCGAACCAGCCAUCUACAGAAAAGGUAACCUUUCCUGAAGAACAGCACACAAGUCUUGGAUACGGGCACUAGUAUCGUUUUAUUAUUGCUUAGCUAUUUUCCCCAAACUGGCCAUUGUUGGGGUAUUCUUGUAAAACCAAACUAAAUGAUAUGAGGAAUUGAAGAGCUCUCAAUGUCAUACUGUAUAUGACAUAAAUUGACUUUUAAUAGUCUGCAAUACAAAUAUUAUUCAACAGCUGUUUAUACAAUAAUCAAUCGAGUAUAUUCAGCCUCAAAGCGACUAGCACCAAAGGUAGACACGUCUUCUUCCUUAUCGAAGGAAGACAUUCUUCCGAGGUGCUAAGCACCUGCCGAAGCUUCCGACUGCCAAAAGUCCUAAUCGCGGAACCUAAUCUCCAAGACACGUGUCACCAUCACGACGACUUGUACAAAGUCCCACAUCGAAACUUUGUGCAAACCUCCCACUUUCACAUCCCUAUAAAUAGGGAACAGUACCCGAGUAAAAAUGGUAACUACUUUCUCACCUUUACUGUUACUCUGCCAAAGUUACCACUUACAGUUGACUUAUAAAGAACCAAGGAUACUCCCGCCUCGGUUCAUAGGAAAACCCUAGCACCAUUUCACCUUCCCUCUCAAAUCCCUUGUACCUACACACAAUUUGAAAUACAAAUUUGAAAUUUAAAAAAAAAUACGAGAGGAAUUUAGGGACCUUGCCUUGUAGUCGGGCUUCACAAAUUGGCAUCUUGGUGUGGUCUUCGUCAAGAAAGUUAUGCCUUCGGCACCUUUUGAUUUGGAAAUAAUUUGUGAAGCCCGCAUUUGCCGAAAUAACGAGGCCAAGGACACCCACCUUAGCUCCAGUCAAGGUCACCAAAGCCCAGCUCCAGUUCACGCGAAGUCUCCUUCCAAAUCUGUCAAAGAAUUCACAAACAUACUAUCAUACCAAAUGCUCAAACUGGCCUUGCCGAACGACAAGCUCCAUGAAAGAAUUUUGAAGGAAACGCACAAUAUACCUUCCCAAAAUGACGAACGGUAUCAGCUCAAGACUUGGAACGUACUGAAAACAGAGGAGUCACAAUUUGCUCAAGACACCCUUGCCGAAACGGCAAGGGUUAUGCAAAGCCAAAAUGGGUGCUCUUGAAUGAAACACCCUUGCUCUCACUGAAGGCCCAGCUCCAAACACCUUUCUGAGCAUUUCCUUGUCGAAGCCAUGACGAGAUUCCCACGAAAUCCCACUCAACUCAGCCUCCUUCAAAAAUCACGACGCCAGAUCACUGCUGCAGUCAAAAAACCUUCAACCCACAGCUUGUCGAACGCGUGCAGAAGGAAAGGAAGCACACACAAAGACACUCACCUCCUGAGAGGCCCAGCCCCAAUUCCCAGCUUCAAAUACCUGCUGAGUGACCCAGCUUCCAAAUCGGGUCCUUCCUAGCCCCAGACCGGUCUAACACCGUACGAUCACUUUGAACUCCUUGCUGAAUGAGACAAAGACACACGAGCUCACAAUUUAAAACCAAGGCCACUCUUGCCGAACAGCAAGGGCCGUGGGAAAUUGAAGGGAGGCUCACCACAAACUUGUACCCAGACCACUCGACUCGAGCUGCCCCAAAAAUCGUCCUCCAAGUUGUUUCUGCCGAAUGAUAGGAGCACGCUAGCCACUUCCUAGUUUACGGCUCAAGAGUUUGUGCGUACUGUGGUCUUGUCGAUCGGCAAUUAGGCUGACAAAGAAGAAUUCGCAAGGACUGCUCUCAAAGGCACACUGAGAGGCAGGGUUCAUAUAACACAAAUAAUCCGAACCUUAGCUCCAACCUUGCCGAACGGCAAGAGUUGUUGAGAGUUAUUUACACUCCUCACAAUCCCAAAAACCCUAACAAUUAGCUAGGUCAAUGAGACUUGCUGAAGCCCAGCCCCAGCAGCCUGCUCUAAGCACAUGCCGAAGGCCCAUCCCAAUUAGGCCCAGCUCAUAGCCCCUCCCCACCGAACUUGAAAACAGCCCUACGAGCUCACAUCCAAACUUUUGGAACCUGCCGAAGGUCUAGCUCACCAAAGUUAAAAAAUUAAAAAUUAAAAAUUUUUUAAAAAAAAAACAACAACAAAAGGAGGGGGUGGUCCUUGCUGAACGGCAAGGGCCAUGUAGAAGGAAAGUAAGGCCUCACUAAAGCCAUUGGCUCCUACCGAAGUCCAAGGGUGACUUCUCGAAGUGGUGCUGACGAAGCUCGGCUCCAAUUCAAUGAGCCCACUAGCCCAGCACCGAAUAUCCACAAGGCCCAGCCCUCCACCUGCUCCUUGACUAAACGCCCAGGUACCCAGCUACCAACAAUUCUAGAGGCUCACACAGCUUUUAUCAUACCUCCCAAGUGGUGACGCAACUUCUAGCUUGCCAACUUGGGAGACUAGGGAAUGCCCUAAGACUCCUGCUGAAGCUAGAAUGCUUGGUCACGAUUACACAAAAAUCUAACAAGUUUCCAACCCAGAAGUUACUUCUUAACCACGAACUUAGGGGAUUACUGUUUACAUCAUAAUCAACCGAGCAUAUCCAGCCUCAAAGCGACUAGCGCCAAAGGCAGACACGCCUUCUUCCCUGCCAAAGGAAGACAUUCUUCCGAGGUGCCAAGCACCUGCCGAAGCUCCCUACUGCCGAAAGUCCUAAUUUCUGAACCUAAUCUCCAGGACACGUGUCACCACCACGGCGACUUGCACAAAGUCCCACAUUGAAACUUUGUGCAAACCUCCCACUUUCACCUCCCUAUAAAUAGGGAACAGUACCUGAGUAAAAAAAAGGUAACUACUUUCUCACAUUUACUGUUAAUCUGCCAAAGUUACCACUUAUAGCUGACUUAAGC